RNAcentral lists this ribosomal RNA (282 nucleotides) under uncultured prokaryote. Its description in RNAcentral is "partial 16S ribosomal RNA". It matches the Rfam family "Bacterial small subunit ribosomal RNA", at positions 524 to 817 of the family's 1533-position model. The record is from RNAcentral.
UACGUAGGGGCGAGCGUUAUCCGGAAUUAUUGGGCGUAAAGAGUACGUAGGCGGUUACCUAAGCAUGGGGUUUAAGGCAGUGGCUUAACCACUGUUCGCCCCAUGAACUGGGCUACUUGAGUGCAGGAGGGGAAAGCGGAAUUCCUAGUGUAGCGGUGAAAUGCGUAGAUAUUAGGAGGAACACCAGUGGCGAAGGCGGCUUUCUGGACUGUAACUGACGCUGAGGUACGAAAGUGUGGGGAGCAAACAGGAUUAGAUACCCUGGUAGUCCCUGAGCGGGCU